RNAcentral lists this ribosomal RNA (422 nucleotides) under Salmonella enterica. Its description in RNAcentral is "bacterial SSU rRNA". It matches the Rfam family "Bacterial small subunit ribosomal RNA", at positions 12 to 430 of the family's 1533-position model. Lineage: Bacteria; Pseudomonadati; Pseudomonadota; Gammaproteobacteria; Enterobacterales; Enterobacteriaceae. RNAcentral also lists the same sequence under 1 other name. The record is from RNAcentral.
UUUGAUCAUGGCUCAGAUUGAACGCUGGCGGCAGGCCUAACACAUGCAAGUCGAACGGUAACAGGAAGCAGCUUGCUGCUUCGCUGACGAGUGGCGGACGGGUGAGUAAUGUCUGGGAAACUGCCUGAUGGAGGGGGAUAACUACUGGAAACGGUAGCUAAUACCGCAUAAUGUCGCAGGACCAAAGAGGGGGACCUUCGGGCCUCUUGCCAUCAGAUGUGCCCAGAUGGGAUUAGCUUGUUGGUGAGGUAACGGCUCACCAAGGCGACGAUCCCUAGCUGGUCUGAGAGGAUGACCAGCCACACUGGAACUGAGACACGGUCCAGACUCCUACGGGAGGCAGCAGUGGGGAAUAUUGCACAAUGGGCGCAAGCCUGAUGCAGCCAUGCCGCGUGUAUGAAGAAGGCCUUCGGGUUGUAAAG